ACAAGUUGUGCAAGGCGAGUCUGCUUUUUUGCCCAUACUACUGAGGAGCUUAGGCCCUUGUAUGUUUCUACUGGAUCUGCAGUUCCAUCUCCUCGGUCAGCUGCUUCUGCAGCCACUGUGAUGGACAUGGCUGCAGCACUGAACCUUUUUCCUGCCUCGCCCUCAUCACACUCUGUGAUGUCUCCUCCUGCUUUCAACCAACCCUGCUUCUGCAGCUACUGUGAUGGACAUGGCUGCAGCACUGAACCUUUUUCCUGGCUCGCCCUCAUCACACUCUGUGAUGUCUCCUCCUGCGUUCAACCAACCCAUGUCCCCUACUGCCAAUGGAAUAUCUCAUCCAUCUGCACCAUGGCCUCAGCCAAAUGUCCCUGCUCUUCAUCUACCUG
Molecule: long non-coding RNA, 386 nt
Filed under: Nicotiana benthamiana
Lineage: Eukaryota; Viridiplantae; Streptophyta; Magnoliopsida; Solanales; Solanaceae
Description: long non-coding RNA (NBEN_LNC015618)
Source: RNAcentral